UAGGGAAUCUUCCACAAUGGGCGAAAGCCUGAUGGAGCAACGCCGCGUGUGUGAUGAGGGUUUCGGCUCGUAAAACACUGUUGUAAGAGAAGAAUGACAUUGAGAGUAACUGUUCAAUGUGUGACGGUAUCUUACCAGAAAGGAACGGCUAAAUACGCGCCAG
Molecule: ribosomal RNA, 163 nt
Filed under: uncultured bacterium
Lineage: Bacteria
Description: partial 16S rRNA
Rfam family: Bacterial small subunit ribosomal RNA
Source: RNAcentral